Molecule: long non-coding RNA, 795 nt
Filed under: Equus caballus (horse)
Lineage: Eukaryota; Metazoa; Chordata; Mammalia; Perissodactyla; Equidae
Description: lncRNA (ENSECAG00000047260.1)
Source: RNAcentral
GUAAGCAAAACAAGAAAAUACUCAGUUUCCAAAAAAUUUUUGCAUCUAUAAUAACAUCUAUUCCUUAUACAUAUCCAACGCAUUACACAAAAGAGAAAUUGUAACCCCCACAGUUUGGAUGAGGAAACGAGUUAAGUGAUUUAGCCAAGGUCAAUUACCUUAUUUUUUUUCAGUAGCUUCUCCAUUUCCUAGUCUUCCAUGAUCAGUGUUCAGAAAAGAACUUUGAGUCUGCUUUCCCUUUUGAUUAUUAUUUCCCUACUAUGGACAACAAUAACACCUAUAGUUUACUAAGCAGGCACUGUGUAAGCACUUUGCAUAUAUUCAAUUUUUCAUUUAAUCCUCACAACAACUCAGGGAGGUAGAUACAUCCCCCUUUAUAUAUAUGUGAGGAAAUAGCUCCCAGGACUCAAGUGACCUGCUCAGGUCACUCAGCUACUAAGCAGAAGGCCUAGGACCAGCCCCUGACUCUAAAUCUAGUGCCAUUAGCACUUAUCAUAACACGUCAUAUCUGUCAGCAUUUUACUAAGCACACCUACAUUCAUUAGGAAGUGGGAUGGGCACCCACCAGCAACUUCCUCUGCAGAGGUCUGGAGAUGACAAGAGCCAGGGAAAGGAGGAGGUGGUGAUAGGAGGUGACAAGGUACAGGCAAAGGUGAAGAUGAGUAACCUUCUCCCAACUGCUCCAUCUCAGGUUGCAGAAGAGUUGCUCAUGGCCACCUGUACUCCAAGGGGUCUUAUUUCAAAGAAAGUAUGGGGGGAAGUAAGCUUUUAUUUAAGAGGUUGCAGCAAUUAUUU